RNAcentral lists this ribosomal RNA (203 nucleotides) under uncultured bacterium. RNAcentral describes it as "partial 16S ribosomal RNA". It matches the Rfam family "Bacterial small subunit ribosomal RNA", at positions 1290 to 1500 of the family's 1533-position model. The record is from RNAcentral.
AGUUCGGACUGGAGUCUGCAACCCGACUCCACGAAGUUGGAUUCGCUAGUAAUCGCGCAUCAGCCAUGGCGCGGUGAAUACGUUCCCGGGCCUUGUACACACCGCCCGUCAAGCCAUGGAAGCCGGGAGUACCUGAAGAUCGUGACCGCGAGGAACGGGCUAGGGUAAUACCGGUAACUGGGGCUAAGUCGUAACAAGGUACC